This 73-nucleotide transfer RNA is filed under the name Bacteroidota bacterium. Its description in RNAcentral is "tRNA-Thr". It matches the Rfam family "tRNA". From Rfam's summary of the family: Transfer RNA (tRNA) molecules are approximately 80 nucleotides in length. Their secondary structure includes four short double-helical elements and three loops (D, anti-codon, and T loops). RNAcentral also lists the same sequence under 2 other names. The record is from RNAcentral. Lineage: Bacteria; Pseudomonadati; Bacteroidota.
GCCGGCGUAGCUCAGUUGGUAGAGCAGCUGAUUUGUAAUCAGCAGGUCGUCGGUUCAAGUCCGUCCGCCGGCU